This 236-nucleotide transfer-messenger RNA is filed under the name uncultured Bartonella sp. RNAcentral's name for it is "partial ssrA". It matches the Rfam family "Alphaproteobacteria transfer-messenger RNA", at positions 107 to 338 of the family's 355-position model. From Rfam's summary of the family: Bacterial tmRNA, also known as 10Sa RNA or SsrA, is named for its dual tRNA and mRNA-like properties. Its role is to liberate the mRNA from a stalled ribosome. To accomplish this part of the tmRNA is used as a reading frame that ends in a translation stop signal. Lineage: Bacteria; Pseudomonadati; Pseudomonadota; Alphaproteobacteria; Hyphomicrobiales; Bartonellaceae. The record is from RNAcentral.
GGCGCCUCCACCAAAAUAUAAAAAAUAAAGAUUAUAUUUUUAUGGGGGCGAAACAGGAUCGACAAGGGUGUAAAGGUUGCUCUUUUACUCGGCAUUGUACCACCGUUAUCGGACUAAAUGAGUAGUUGCAAAUGACAACUAUGCGGAAGCCCGUCUCAUCGCUGCUUAAGCGAUGCGAAAGCUUCAAACUAAGUCUUAAACCGUCGCAGGUCUAAGCGGGGUUCGAAGGCACCUGG